AGGCUGCAACUCGCCUACANGAAGUCGGAAUCGCUAGUAAUCGCGGAUCAGCAUGCCGCGGUGAAUACGUUCCCGGGCCUUGUACACACCGCCCGUCACACCAUGAGAGUUUGUAACACCCAAAGCCGGUGGGGUAACCUUUUGGAGCCAGCCGUCUAAGGUGGGACAGAUGAUUAGGGUGAAGUCGUAACAAGGUAGC
This 199-nucleotide ribosomal RNA is filed under the name uncultured bacterium. RNAcentral's name for it is "partial 16S ribosomal RNA". It matches the Rfam family "Bacterial small subunit ribosomal RNA", at positions 1302 to 1500 of the family's 1533-position model. The record is from RNAcentral.